AUUGAACGCUGGCGGCAGGCCUAACACAUGCAAGUCGAACGAGUGGCGGACGGGUGAGUAAUGUCUGGGAAACUGCCUGAUGGAGGGGGAUAACUACUGGAAACGGUAGCUAAUACCGCAUACCAUCGGAUGUGCCCAGAUGGGUUUAGCUAGUAGGUGGGGUAAAGGCUCACCUAGGCGACGAUCCCUAGCUGGAAUGAGAGGGUGACCAGGCACACUGGAACUGUGACACGGACCAGACUACUACGGAGGGAGGCAGUGGGGAAGAUUGCACAAGUGGCGCAAGUCUAAUGCAGCCAUGCCGCGUGUAUGAAGAGGGCCCUCGGGUUGUAAAGUAGUUUCAGCGGGGAGGCGUUACCCGAAGAGGAAGCACCGGCUAACUCCGUGCCAGCAGCCGCGGUAAUAC
Molecule: ribosomal RNA, 406 nt
Filed under: uncultured bacterium
Lineage: Bacteria
Description: partial 16S ribosomal RNA
Rfam family: Bacterial small subunit ribosomal RNA
Source: RNAcentral